This 377-nucleotide unclassified non-coding RNA is filed under the name plant metagenome. RNAcentral's name for it is "partial contains 5.8S ribosomal RNA, internal transcribed spacer 2, and large subunit ribosomal RNA". The stretch from base 1 to 104 matches the Rfam family "5.8S ribosomal RNA", at positions 51 to 154 of the family's 154-position model. The record is from RNAcentral.
AAAUGCGAUAAGUAAUGUGAAUUGCAGAAUUCAGUGAAUCAUCGAAUCUUUGAACGCACCUUGCGCUCCUUGGUAUUCCUUGGAGCAUGCCUGUUUGAGUAUCAUGAAAUCUUCAAAGUAAAUCUUUUGUUAACUCAAUUGGUUUCUACUUUGGUAUUGGAGGUCUUUGCAGCUUCACACCUGCUCCUCUUUGUUCAUUAGCUGGAUCUCAGUGUUAUGCUUGGUUCCACUCGGCGUGAUAAGUUAUCUAUCGCUGAGGAUACUGUAAAAGGUGGCCAAGGUAAAUGCAGAUGAACCGCUUCUAAUAGUCCAUUGACUUGGACAAUACUUUUAUGAUCUGAUCUCAAAUCAGGUAGGACUACCCGCUGAACUUAAGC